RNAcentral lists this ribosomal RNA (328 nucleotides) under Corbicula sp. CFG6b. Its description in RNAcentral is "partial 28S ribosomal RNA". Lineage: Eukaryota; Metazoa; Mollusca; Bivalvia; Venerida; Cyrenidae. The record is from RNAcentral.
CCGGCCGCCCCAGGGACACUCGCAAAGUUCCGGAUCCGCAAGGACCGGGCCAGCGGACGUCCGCGUGGCAGGGUGCACUUUCUCCGCGGUCGAGUGCUACGACCGGUUUCGCGGCGGUCAGAAGCCCGGCGGAAAGGUAGCGCCGCCCCUCGGGGUGUCGUGUUAUAGGCCGCCGCGGUGGACUCGCCGCGAGACCGAGGACGCUUGCCGCGCCGAGCGGUCCCGGGCCGUCUUGGGAGGUUCGACCUCGGCUGCACUGCUCCGCAGAGCACCGUAACCGCCGCCCUAGCACGGGUCCGGAGACUGCCGGCGCCUCGGGUCAGUAGCG